CGGCUGUAGCUAUAAUAGAGAAGUUAACUGGCCGGUUAUCGUGCUUAAUUUGAAAAUUUCAAGCUUCCGUCGGUUAAUCUGCUUACCGAGCUUCGUACAUUU
This is a non-coding RNA of Gossypium raimondii (Peruvian cotton), 102 nucleotides long. NCBI's taxonomy places the organism in Eukaryota, Viridiplantae, Streptophyta, Magnoliopsida, Malvales, Malvaceae. The record is from Rfam.